Molecule: long non-coding RNA, 818 nt
Organism: Lutra lutra (Eurasian river otter)
Lineage: Eukaryota; Metazoa; Chordata; Mammalia; Carnivora; Mustelidae
Exons: 3
Source: RefSeq, a predicted model, not a curated record
CGACAUUCCCUAUAAUUCUUUCAGGUUGAAAGCAGUCAACCAUGUUUCAUGAGCCCCAGUCUCUGAUGGCUGAGUAUGCACAAGAGGCUAUCUACUCAUUACUCAUCUCUAAUUACUAAAUUCAGAAAUUCCUAGCAAAAUAAAUAACUCAACAAGUAACCAAGUAAAUGUAUGGCUGAAGGAAAAGAUGUUAUUAUGGGACUAUACCACCAUGGAGUGGAGUGAAAGAGGAUUCCUUUUAUAAAUGCUGAAUUAGAAAGGCAGAAAGGGAAGACACGCACAAGUGAAGAAUAGGUUUUAAAAUAUUUGUCACUGGCCCUUCUUGAGCCAUACUAGACUUUCUUCACAUUCUUCCAAUUCUCUUCUAAAUUACGUAAUCAGAUCCGUCUAACACAAUGAAUAUUAUUUUAGCAUAUCAUCAGUGAUCUCAAGAUCAUUAACUCCAUAGUCAGGAGAAUCAUUAGUGUUAACCAAGGAUCAAUCAGUUCCCCUUUGGACUCCAAAUCUAAAACACACAUCUAGGUUCCAGAGAACACUGUGCAUUCUACCCCGGAUCAAGAGAUUUCAAAAUACCAGUAACUUACUAGUUAAGUCUUCAUCUAAUAUUAUACUCUUCAGUAUGUCAAUGUAGAAAAUUGUUGGUAACCCUGACUAUGCUGACUAUUAGAGAUGACACUAGCAACAUGUGACUAUUUACAUUAAAUAAAUUUUAUUCUAAAAUGUAUUCUAGGGGUGCCCGGUGGCUUAAAGGCAGUGGCUUAAAGCCUCUGCCUUCGGCUCAGGUCACGAUCCCAGGGUCCUGGGAUCGAGCCCCGCAU